Molecule: ribosomal RNA, 253 nt
Filed under: uncultured bacterium
Lineage: Bacteria
Description: partial 16S ribosomal RNA
Rfam family: Bacterial small subunit ribosomal RNA
Source: RNAcentral
UACAGAGGGAGCAAGCGUUGUUCGGAAUUAUUGGGCGUAAAGCGCGUGUAGGCGGCUUUGCAAGUCGGGUGUGAAAGCCCUCAGCACAACUGAGGAAGUGCGCCCGAAACUGCAGAGCUUGAGUGCCGGAGAGGGUGGCGGAAUUCCCCAAGUAGAGGUGAAAUUCGUAGAUAUGGGGAGGAACACCGGUGGCGAAGGUGGCCACCUGGACGGCAAUUGACGCUGAGACGCGAAAGCGUGGGGAGCAAACAGG